RNAcentral lists this ribosomal RNA (156 nucleotides) under Natantiella ligneola. RNAcentral's name for it is "5.8S ribosomal RNA". It matches the Rfam family "5.8S ribosomal RNA". Rfam says of the family: 5.8S ribosomal RNA (5.8S rRNA) is a component of the large subunit of the eukaryotic ribosome. It is transcribed by RNA polymerase I as part of the 45S precursor that also contains 18S and 28S rRNA. Lineage: Eukaryota; Fungi; Ascomycota; Sordariomycetes. The record is from RNAcentral.
AAAACUUUCAACAACGGAUCUCUUGGUUCUGGCAUCGAUGAAGAACGCAGCGAAAUGCGAUAAGUAAUGUGAAUUGCAGAAUUCAGUGAAUCAUCGAAUCUUUGAACGCACAUUGCGCCUAUUAGUAUUCUAGUAGGCAUGCCUGUUCGAGCGUCA